GCGCGAGGAAUGGCGAGUGUAAGAUACCGCUCGGGCAGGAGGGGGGUGGCGAGAUCCACCUCCCCGGGAAAUAAUGGGGAUGAUAAUAAAACAGGAGGAAAACCCGUGUGAGGGAACCUGAAUGGAUGGAGCCAGAGAGACGUCACGACCAGCCGCAGCCAUGAAGACUGUGCGGUCCAGCCUCCGACAGCUCACUUGGUCUCCAUCUCCCGAGCCGCUCGCUUCGAGGUUUUGGUGAGCGGACGCCGCAGCAACUCGCAGGCGACGGCGUCAGAGCUUGCGGCUCUGCGGCUCGAGAGGAUGGGUAGCCUUAGGGGUUGGUUGUUAUCUUUGGUUAUCUAGCUGUAUGAGUGAUGUACAUUCUUCAUAAAGCUAGAUAACCGAAAGUAACAAGAAUCCCAUUACACUCCUGAAAAGGCAUCAAGACCCCAAAUACGUCUCCCUCCCGAAACUACUGCUGCAAGAACAUGAGGGAAGAAAAUGGAUGGCAUAUAAAAAAGAUGUGGAAGUAGAAUGCAACAGAAGGCUAUCACCACGACACCACUGAAGGAAAGCUGGCAAAAGGAGGCUGAAAAACAGAGACGGAGGAGGAGGGGUUGCUGUUGAUUCUGCCUUCCCUUUCUCUUCUCCUUCCUCUGCAUUGCCUCUUCCCACCUCCUCCUCCCUUCCUCGUUCGCUCCAUCCUCAGCAGAUUGCCCAUUUUUCCUGUACAGCGAAACGCAGCCCGCGCCACCAUCUUAGAGCAACGCUGGCAUGAAAUGGAAGUGGGAAGACCAGUCAGUGCAGGUGAAUGGACUCAGUGCAUGGGGAUCUGAAACAAACAGAGAGCACAAGUCAGUGAAAGUGGGACUCCUUCAGCCUAGAGUCAAUAAGGAUGACGAUGCUGCUGUCUGCACAUGCACAACUCCGUGGUGAUUCCUGCCAUGACUCUGGAACACGGCUGCACUGUUUGUACCUCUUCAUGCUGCUGCAUGACGUAUUGUUUGACCCCACAGUCAAGAUGAACUUGUGAACACUUGUGUUUAAUCUGAGAAAACCUCAUGUUGGACUAUGGGAAACGAGGCUGGGACAGAAGAUCAGCAGCUUGAGGUGUGAACAAGCUGGUCUGUGUGUAUUUGGGGGUGUGCCACCAAAUUUUAGCUAUUAUUCUCACUGUAGGUCAUAUUUGAUGACUUGAGCUGUAGCCCACACUGUGUUUAAUUUCUGUUAUGUUGUAGUUGCUAGGACUCAAAGACACAUGAAUGUGAGACCCACGGCAGCAGUGAAUAAUAGUACUGCACUGCGAUUGGACAGCUCCAUGUGUCAGCUGACACAAUGGCGAAGGAGUGAGCUGUUGUCUUUAUACUCUAUGCAACUGUGUUUUCUUUUUUUUUUAAAUCUUGAAUUCCAGAUGAGUCAAGCUCCAUUCCUCCCUGCUCUUGAUUUUUUUUUGGGGGGGGGGCUACCAAUUUAUAGACAUAUCUUCAGACAUCAUCUAGAGAAAUGGUUUUUGAGGAGUCUAUGUUAGUAUACUGAUUCAGAAAUUCCAGUGAGUGUGUGACAGAUGACAGAAUACAGCUCAGUUUCAUGAGCAGAUGUAGUGAAUCUCAUAUUUGCAGCCUUAACAGACUUUGAUUUGACUGUGCAGCCACAGUCUGAGUAAAUGUGGACUCACACAUUUAAUAUUCCUGAUGUA
Monopterus albus (swamp eel) is the source of this 1675-nucleotide long non-coding RNA. RefSeq lists it as uncharacterized. The transcript has 4 exons. The record is from RefSeq and is a predicted model, not a curated record. NCBI's taxonomy places the organism in Eukaryota, Metazoa, Chordata, Actinopteri, Synbranchiformes, Synbranchidae.